This 759-nucleotide long non-coding RNA is filed under the name Prunus persica (peach). Its description in RNAcentral is "long non-coding RNA (PPER_LNC007521)". Lineage: Eukaryota; Viridiplantae; Streptophyta; Magnoliopsida; Rosales; Rosaceae. The record is from RNAcentral.
UUUUUGAUUGUUAUGAGUUUGCAAUCUUAGUUGGAUGCGCAUAUACUAGAGUUUCUUCAAUAAUGCUUGAUUGUUAAUGGAGGCGCACAAAAUUGUCUUAAAUUUGAUGUUAGAUUGCUCAAUUAUUGUAAUGGCUCUUUAUGAUUAGUUUUUUUAUUUUUAUUUUUUAUAAACUGAAUUAUGAAUACAAUUUUUUUUAAAUAAAAAAAAAAACACUGUGUAGUGGCUGUUUGGGUUGAGUCCCUUUCCAUGUCUCUUGGUCUAAUAAACAGGCGUAAGACGACAUUGCUGAUUUUUGCCACUGCCCCCUACUUGUAAGAUUAUUAAUAAUAUUGUUUAAUGUUCUAAAAUAUUAUGCACUAUAGUCAAUUGUUUGGUGCGGAGUAUUUUUUUGAAACAUAAGUAUUUUAUUUUACUCCGUGAUUUCCCUAGCUAAUUCUUGGUUAUUUCAUUUUAUUUACCAGUUUUUUUAUAUUCUUCUUCUUCUUUUUCAAUGACAUACAAGACUUAUAUUGACACUCCAUCCAUAUGUAUGUCACAUCUUUAAUAAUCUAGGAGUCUCAAGAGUGUAGACACAAUGAUCAUUAUUAAACCAACCAAAUUUGUUUUCUUAUCCGAAUAUAGAUUGUCUAUCCUAUAUCCCUGCAUUUAAGACUUGCGAGGGGAAAAUAAACGAUGAACAUUACUGUACAAUAUUAUAUGAACAGCAUGGAUAUUAUGCACAAACGAAAGAACAACAAGAAUCAGACAACAGUGUGC